GACAGAGGGGGCAAGCGUUGCUCGGAAUCACUGGGCGUAAAGGGCGCGUAGGCGGGUCCGCAAGUCGUUCGUGAAAUCCUUCGGCUCAACUGAAGGGGGUCGGUCGAUACUGCGGGUCUUGAGGGAUGCAGAGGAGACUGGAAUUCCCGGUGUAGCGGUGAAAUGUGUAGAGAUCGGGAGGAACACCGGUGGCGAAGGCGGGUCUCUGGGCAUCUCCUGACGCUGAGGCGCGAAAGCUAGGGGAGCGAACGGG
This 253-nucleotide ribosomal RNA is filed under the name uncultured bacterium. Its description in RNAcentral is "partial 16S ribosomal RNA". It matches the Rfam family "Bacterial small subunit ribosomal RNA", at positions 524 to 776 of the family's 1533-position model. The record is from RNAcentral.